Molecule: ribosomal RNA, 301 nt
Filed under: uncultured bacterium
Lineage: Bacteria
Description: partial 16S ribosomal RNA
Rfam family: Bacterial small subunit ribosomal RNA
Source: RNAcentral
CAGUAGCCGCGGUAAUACGAAGGGGGUUAGCGUUGUUCGGAUUUACUGGGCGUAAAGCGCACGUAGGCGGAUCGAUCAGUCAGGGGUGAAAUCCCAGAGCUCAACUCUGGAACUGCCUUUGAUACUGUCGAUCUGGAGUAUGGAAGAGGUGAGUGGAAUUCCGAGUGUAGAGGUGAAAUUCGUAGAUAUUCGGAGGAACACCAGUGGCGAAGGCGGCUCACUGGUCCAUUACUGACGCUGAGGUGCGAAAGCGUGGGGAGCAAACAGGAUUAGAUACCCCAGUAGUCCCUGUCUCUUAUAC